CGAACGCUGGCGGCGUGCUUACCACAUGCAAGUCGAACGGUGAAGGGGUCUGCUUUUGUGGGCCCUGGAUGAGUGGCGAACGGGUGAGUAACACGUGAGUAACCUGUCCCCUUCUUCUGGAUAACCGCAUGAAAGUGUGGCUAAUACGGGAUAUUCUGGGUCUGUCGCAUGAUGGGUCUGGGAAAGAUUGCGCCUUUGGGUGUUUUUGGUGGGGGAUGGGCUCGCGGCCUAUCAGCUUGUUGGUGGGGUGAUGGCCUACCAAGGCGGUGACGGGUAGCCGGCCUGAGAGGGUGGACGGUCACACUGGGACUGAGACACGGCCCAGACUCCUACGGGAGGCAGCAGUGGGGAAUAUUGCACAAUGGGCGCAAGCCUGAUGCAGCGACGCCGCGUGAGGGAUGGAGGCCUUCGGGUUGUAAACCUCUUUCGCCAGUGAAGCAGGCCUGCUCCUUGUGGGUGGGUUGACGGUAGCUGGAUAAGAAGCGCCGGCUAACUACGUG
RNAcentral lists this ribosomal RNA (500 nucleotides) under uncultured bacterium. RNAcentral describes it as "partial 16S ribosomal RNA". It matches the Rfam family "Bacterial small subunit ribosomal RNA", at positions 30 to 507 of the family's 1533-position model. The record is from RNAcentral.